CCUACGGGAGGCAGCAGUGGGGAAUCUUGCGCAAUGGGCGAAAGCCUGACGCAGCAACGCCGCGUGCGGGAAGAAGGCUUUCGGGCUGUAAACCGCUUUCAGCAGGAACGAAAAUGACGGUACCUGCAGAAGAAGGAGCGGCCAACUAUGUGCCAGCAGCCGCGGUGAUACAUAGGCUUCAAGCGUUGUCCGGAUUUAUUGGGCGUAAAGAGUUCGUAGGCGGUCGAGUAAGUCGGGUGUGAAAAUUCUGGGCUCAACCCAGAGACGCCACCCGAUACUGCUUGACUUGAGUUCGAUAGGGGAGUGGGGAAUUCCUAGUGUAGCGGUGAAAUGCGCAGGUAUUAGGAGGAACACCGGUGGCGAAGGCGCCACUCUGGAUCGAUACUGACGCUGAGGAACGAAAGCAUGGGUAGCAAACAGGAUUAGAUACCCUGGUAGUCCAUGCCGUAAACGGUGGGCACUAGGUGUGGGUUUCUAUUAACGAAAUCCGCGCCGUCGCUAACGCAUUAAGUGCCCCGCCUGGGGAGUACGGUCGCAAGACUAAAACUUAAGGAAUUGACGG
RNAcentral lists this ribosomal RNA (562 nucleotides) under uncultured bacterium. Its description in RNAcentral is "bacterial SSU rRNA". It matches the Rfam family "Bacterial small subunit ribosomal RNA", at positions 338 to 916 of the family's 1533-position model. The record is from RNAcentral.